AUACGGAGGGUGCAAGCGUUGCUCGGAAUCACUGGGCGUAAAGCGUACGCAGGCGGUUUACUAAGUCGGGUGUGAAAGCCCAGGGCUCAACCCUGGAACUGCAUUCGAAACUGGUAGACUUGAGUACGGGAGAGGAGAGCGGAAUUCCUGGUGUAGAGGUGAAAUUCGUAGAUAUCAGGAGGAACACCCGUGGCGAAAGCGGCUCUCUGGCCCGAUACUGACGCUCAUGUACGAAAGCGUGGGUAGCAAACAGGAUUAGAAACCCCAGUAGUCC
This 274-nucleotide ribosomal RNA is filed under the name uncultured bacterium. RNAcentral's name for it is "partial 16S ribosomal RNA". It matches the Rfam family "Bacterial small subunit ribosomal RNA", at positions 523 to 796 of the family's 1533-position model. The record is from RNAcentral.